Molecule: ribosomal RNA, 301 nt
Filed under: uncultured bacterium
Lineage: Bacteria
Description: partial 16S ribosomal RNA
Rfam family: Bacterial small subunit ribosomal RNA
Source: RNAcentral
CAGCCGCCGCGGGAAUACGUAGGUGGCAAGCGUCGUCCGGAAUUAUUGAGCGUAAAGGGCUCGCAGGCGGUUUCUUAAGUCUGAUGUGAAAGCCCCCGGCUCAACCGGGGAGGGUCAUUGGAAACUGGGAAACUUGAGUGCAGAAGAGGAGAGUGGAAUUCCACGUGUAGCGGUGAAAUGCGUAGAGAUGUGGAGGAACACCAGUGGCGAAGGCGACUCUCUGGUCUGUAACUGACGCUGAGGAGCGAAAGCGUGGGGAGCGAACAGGAUUAGAUACCCCUGUAGUCCCUGUCUCUUAUAC